CAAUAGCCCCGAUUGAGCGGAGUGUUUAAGCUCUUUUCAAGUUUCGGCGGCGGCUUUGCCGCCGCCGAAACUUGAAAAAGCGAGUAGCGAAAGCGGGAAAAAGC
This 104-nucleotide small RNA is filed under the name Chryseobacterium geocarposphaerae. RNAcentral describes it as "Flavo-1 RNA". Lineage: Bacteria; Pseudomonadati; Bacteroidota; Flavobacteriia; Flavobacteriales; Weeksellaceae. The record is from RNAcentral.